CCAGGAGAAGCGGGAAGGUAGGGGCCCUGGGGAUAUAGGUCGCGGCUCCGGUGAGGCGCGGGGGAGGCAGGGGCGUGGCGCCACCGGCGACGACCGACGCAGGACGCGGGAGGAGGGGAGGUAGGCGCGCGCGGGGGUUUCUCUCCGCCCCGGCCCUGGUGCGGCGGCGCUGGGCUCCCGUUGUAUCCAGAAGGAGGAGAGGAGAGAGUGGAGAUAAGAGAUGUGGCUGACAGGUGGGACCCCAAUCCACCUCAGCAGGUCAAACAUUGACUAGGACUAGUCUUUGCCACAUCAGCCAGGACAGACGGGUCCCACCCGUCAGUUUUUUUUGUUAGACACACUUAAUUUCGAAUCAGUGCGAUUCGUUACUCACUUGCCACAGAGUUGGUGGUUUUUUGUGAUUUUUGAUAAAAACGGUAGUUUCGGAGUACCCUAGCCAUAAAUCUGGUGGUUUUGAGCAAUUAACUCCCGGUGGCUAGAGAAUGUGAGACAUUCGCCGGACAGGGCGAUUUGGUGCCCGGGCUUAGACGCUCCCGAAAUCUCUGCCGCUGGUUGCUGCAUCGGGAUGGUAAAAAAUAGGCCUGACGAGCAGGGCCGAAGAAUACUAAGGAUACUCGUGGUAUACGGCCCGCAACAGUGCGCAAGAGUGGGCCAUCUUCGUAGCGUCGGGGUCUCUCCGUCACAGGGGGCGUUCACGAGCCGUCGACCAGAACGCGUGGAGUCAUCUGAGCUGUGGUCCACGACGGUAGUCCAGGUCGUUCCGGAAACCUGAGCCAUGGCGACACGAGAACCCUGGGUCCCGUGCUUUCUGCGGCGGCGCGGCAAUGUCGGCCGACGGGCUGGAGUUCCGACGGAUCCCGUUGACCGGUGAGUUUUCCUUUCCCGGUGUUCGUCUUUCGAUUGCUUGUUUGCCUUGGGGGCCCGGAUUUUCGGUCCACGAUUUUGGUGACCGCCCACAGCUCACCACCACCGCCGGUGAGCGGUGACUAUGCUUCGACUCGCACGUUUCCUCCUAGGGAGGAGCUUGCGGACAUCCUGGAACAUCAAGAUCCGGUCUCCCCCAAGCUGCUGCCGCCCCGUGAUGCAAUCCGGCUAUGCCGGCUGAUUCCAAUGUUGGGUCAGGCUGCGCGUGGCAUGAAGGUAACCGCGGCCCCGUGAGGCCGGGAGGGGAAUUCCUGGCAAAAACAACGCUUCUACGACUUCUUCUGCACAAUCCAAUGGGAGGGAGAACCCCGAAGCACUGGGUGGACGAAAAGGUUGCGGCUGGGCAGUGCACCACCAGACAGAACUCUGGCUCGAGAAUGAGUGCUGUCGGCCUUCAGUUGUCGGUAUACUGACAUGAUGGUAAAUGCAGGUGUUGAUUGUGGUGGAACAGGGGCUCACGGUGGUACAGAAGUGCAGAAUUUCAUAGAGGGUCAUUUCCAGAGGAAGGGAGUAGACUAAGGCGAGUGGUGCUAGGAAUCCGACAGGUGAUCCGGCGGUGAAGAGUGAGUGGGGAGAGAAGUUCCCUCAUUCCAUCUGACUAAACCAUGACGAGCCGUCGCUUCGGGAUGUUCUUUGGUUCUACGACAACAUGCUGGGUUGUUCUGAGGAAACUUUCGAAGAAAUGGUUUAGGCACGUCAAUCCAUUUGCCGCGGUGAUGUUCGAGCAAGACCUGAAAGGAAGAACUAGGAGAGGAGUUUUCGAUCCGUGUUGUGUGGUAAGUGUCUCACUGUCUGUGAUCCACCAUUGGAACGUGAUAACAUACAUAGUGCUGUCUUUGACUGGUGUGCACUUCUUCGCAUAUGGUAAUUACCUCCAACCUUGGUCAAGUCAGAUGGCCAACUCAUGACGUACGGCCACUGGACUACCCACUGCCCUGCUGUUGCUGCCUACACUUUUGGGAAGUUAAUAUCUGUUGUCUUUUGAAUGAUCACGUAAAACUAUCUGAAGUGCACUUUCAAACGAAAUAAAAAACUUUUUUGUGAUACAUAUAUACUGCAUGGAGGAUACCAGGACAUGCAGCUUGCACAUUGCACGACAUUACGACAGCAUAAAACUGAAACUUCCCUUGAUGAAGUACAAUAUGAUGAACAAACUUAAGAGGCAAGCCCUCCACGAGUGUCUGAAGUUACAAGGAAACACCUCGACGUUGGCACGCGAGGCAUUGUGGGCAGUCCUAGCACCUGGUGACUCUUACUUCGUAUGAAACCCUCUUCUGCCUAAAAACAUGUCCUGGAAGCGAACUUCCUCUAGCAGAUUGUCCCAUGCGCCUUACCUAAUGUACCAUCUUAGGCAUUACUACGAUCUCCACUGACCAUCAUUUUAAGAUGUUGUAUCGAACAUUUGAGCCUAGUAUAUUGCUUUUUGCUCACUUCGUAGCUUGUUUUUUAGAUUCAUGCAAGGAACAAUCACUGUUUUACAAUCAUCCUUCAGUGUACUCUGUACGAAUGUUUGCGAUAGCCUAAACUCUUUGGCCACAUCGCCACAUUUGUUUGCUUCUCCUUGUAUUCAUCUACUUGCUAUUUA
Long non-coding RNA from Triticum urartu, 2509 nucleotides. RefSeq lists it as uncharacterized. NCBI's taxonomy places the organism in Eukaryota, Viridiplantae, Streptophyta, Magnoliopsida, Poales, Poaceae. The record is from RefSeq and is a predicted model, not a curated record.